CACAGUGCGCCAGUGCACCAGUAAGCUCGGUUCCUACCCCAGGUUGCGGGAGGAGACGGAGCGGAUCGUCACCACCCACAUCCGGGAGCGCGAGGGCAAAACCAAGGACCAGAUCCUGCUGCUGAUCGACAUCGAGCUCUCCUACAUCAACACCAACCACGAGGAUUUCAUCGGAUUUGCCAAGUGAGUCCUUUUCCAAGGGAGGGGGGGGAUGAAUCCCAAACUCUCCGUCGGCGAGGCUCGUGGUCCCACCCCCGGCCUGGGGGGGGUUGUGUUAUCCUGGGAUUGUGUUAUCCUGGGGUUGUGUUAUCCUGGGAUUGUGUUAUCCCUCUGGGAUCAACCAUGGGAAGGCCGGAGCCUCCCACGUCCCGUCGUCGCCCACCAAAUCCACACCUUUGGCACCUUUGGCACCUUUGGCACCCGAUUCCCUCAGCU
Long non-coding RNA from Manacus vitellinus (golden-collared manakin), 435 nucleotides. RefSeq lists it as uncharacterized. NCBI's taxonomy places the organism in Eukaryota, Metazoa, Chordata, Aves, Passeriformes, Pipridae. The record is from RefSeq and is a predicted model, not a curated record. The transcript is spliced from 3 exons.